RNAcentral lists this ribosomal RNA (406 nucleotides) under uncultured bacterium. Its description in RNAcentral is "partial 16S ribosomal RNA". It matches the Rfam family "Bacterial small subunit ribosomal RNA", at positions 30 to 526 of the family's 1533-position model. The record is from RNAcentral.
AUUGAACGCUGGCGGCAGGCCUAACACAUGCAAGUCGAACGAGUGGCGGACGGGUGAGUAAUGUCUGGGAAACUGCCCGAUGGAGGGGUAUAACUACUGGAAACGGUAGCUAAUACCGCAUACCAUCGGAUGUGCCCAGAUGGGAUUAGCUGGUAGGUGGGGUAACGGCUCACCGGGGCGCCGAUCCCUGGCUGGUCUGAGAGGACGACCAGCCACAUUGGAACUGAGAUACGGUCUCGACUCCUACGUGAGGCAGAAGUGUGGAAUAUGGCACAAUGGGGUCAAGCCUGUUGCAGCCAUGCCGCGUGUAUGAAGAAGGCCGUCGGGUUGUAAGGUACUUUCAGCGACGAGGAGUUACUCGCAGAAGAAGCACCGGCUAAGUCCGUGCCAGCAGCCGCGGUAAUAC